This 497-nucleotide ribosomal RNA is filed under the name uncultured bacterium. RNAcentral's name for it is "partial 16S ribosomal RNA". It matches the Rfam family "Bacterial small subunit ribosomal RNA", at positions 28 to 507 of the family's 1533-position model. The record is from RNAcentral.
GAUGAACGCUGGCGGCGUGCCUAAUACAUGCAAGUCGAGCGAACAGACGAGGAGCUUGCUCCUCUGACGUUAGCGGCGGACGGGUGAGUAACACGUGGAUAACCUACCUAUAAGACUGGGAUAACUUCGGGAAACCGGAGCUAAUACCGGAUAAUAUAUUGAACCGCAUGGUUCAAUAGUGAAAGACGGUUUUGCUGUCACUUAUAGAUGGAUCCGCGCCGCAUUAGCUAGUUGGUAAGGUAACGGCUUACCAAGGCAACGAUGCGUAGCCGACCUGAGAGGGUGAUCGGCCACACUGAAACUGAGACACGGUCCAGACUCCUACGGGAGGCAGCAGUAGGGAAUCUUCCGCAAUGGGCGAAAGCCUGACGGAGCAACGCCGCGUGAGUGAUAAAGGUCUUCGGAUCGUAAAACUCUGUUAUUAGGGAAAAACAAAUGUGUAAGUAACUAUGCACGUCUUGACGGUACCUAAUCAGAAAGCCACGGCUAACUACGUG